Molecule: ribosomal RNA, 253 nt
Filed under: uncultured bacterium
Lineage: Bacteria
Description: partial 16S ribosomal RNA
Rfam family: Bacterial small subunit ribosomal RNA
Source: RNAcentral
GCAAGUCGAGGGGUAACAGGGAUUGCUUGCACUCCGCUGACGAUCGGCGAACGGGAGCGUACCGCGUCUGCAACCUACCUUUUACUGGGGGAUAGUCAAGAGAAAUUUUGAAUAAUACCCCAUACGAUCAUUUAUUUGCAUAAAUAGAUGAAGAAAACUCCGGUGGUAAAAGAUGGGCAUGCGUCCGAUUAGUUUGUUGGUGAGGUAACGGCUCACCAAGACUACGAUAGGUAGGGGGCCUGAGAGGGAGACC